Molecule: ribosomal RNA, 886 nt
Filed under: Hexagrammos agrammus (spotbelly greenling)
Lineage: Eukaryota; Metazoa; Chordata; Actinopteri; Perciformes; Hexagrammidae
Description: partial 16S rRNA
Rfam family: Bacterial large subunit ribosomal RNA (bases 191-886)
Source: RNAcentral
UACCUAACAGCUAGCCCACCCAAACAAUUUCAACAAACCCCUGUUAAUAACCCCUAAGUACCCCAGUAUUUAUUUUAAACAAACCAUUUUUCCCCCCUAGUAUAGGCGAUAGAAAAGGGCCUACGGCGCAAUAGAGAAAGUACCGCAAGGGAACGCUGAAAGAGAAGUGAAACAACCCAGUAAAGCCUAAAAAAGCAGAGAUCUAAACUCGUACCUUUUGCAUCAUGAUUUAGCAAGUGUAACCCAAGCAAAGCGUACUUUAGUUUGACGUCCCGAAACUAGGUGAGCUACUCCAAGACAGCCUAUCAAUAGGGCGUACCCGUCUCUGUGGCAAAAGAGUGGGGAGAGCUUUGAGUAGAGGUGACAUACCUACCGAACCUAGUUAUAGCUGGUUGUCCAAGAAAUGAAUAGAAGUUCAGCCUUUCAGCUUCUCUUUUCACCUUAGCCUGACCCCUAUUGAUGUAUUAAAGAAACCGAAAGAGUUAGUCAAAGGGGGUACAGCUCCUUUGAAUCAAGACACAACUUUCCCAGGAGGGUAAAGAUCAUAAUAAUUAAAGCUAAAUGUUCUGGUGGGCCUAAAAGCAGCCAUCCCCUUAGAAAGCGUUAAAGCUCAGACAUGUAACCAUACUUCUUAUCCUGAUCACCCAAUCUUAUCCCCCUAACCGUACUGGACCAUCCCAUGCCAACAUGGGAGUGACUAUGCUGAAAUGAGUAAUAAGAGAGCUAUCGGCUCUCUCCCUGCACACAUGUACAUCGGAACGGACAACCCACCGAACCUUAACGGCCCCAAAUAAAGAGGGCAGUGGAUGUUAGACCAAAAAACUAGAAAACUAUCCAAAAACCAACCGUUAAACCCACACAGGUGUGCCCCCAGGGAAAGACUAAA